RNAcentral lists this ribosomal RNA (210 nucleotides) under uncultured Lactobacillus sp. Its description in RNAcentral is "partial 16S ribosomal RNA". It matches the Rfam family "Bacterial small subunit ribosomal RNA", at positions 152 to 355 of the family's 1533-position model. The record is from RNAcentral. Lineage: Bacteria; Bacillati; Bacillota; Bacilli; Lactobacillales; Lactobacillaceae.
GGAAACAGAUGCUAAUACCGGACAACAACAGAUGAUGCCUAUCAACUGUUUAAAAGAUGGUUCUGCUAUCACUCUUGGAUGGACCUGCGGUGCAUUAGCUAGUUGGUAGGGUAACGGCCUACCAAGGCGAUGAUGCAUAGCCGAGUUGAGAGACUGAUCGGCCACAUUGGGACUGAGACACGGCCCAAACUCCUACGGGAGGCAGCAGUC